RNAcentral lists this long non-coding RNA (6287 nucleotides) under Sus scrofa (pig). RNAcentral's name for it is "lncRNA (ENSSSCG00050065793.1)". Lineage: Eukaryota; Metazoa; Chordata; Mammalia; Artiodactyla; Suidae. The record is from RNAcentral.
AGCAAGCAAAUAUAGGAAGGGCUUAACAUACUCGAAAAACAGGGCAACCAUAAAGCCAAACCAAACAAUACAUUCACAAAAACCAGAAAGAAGAGGACACAGCAUAAAAUUAAACGAACUCAUCUGACCAAAAGAAAUAAAUAGAUAAAGGAACAAAGGAGAAUCAACUGGAAAACAAGGUUUAAAAUGGCAAUAAAUACAUAUUUAUCAAUAAUUAUCUUAAAUGUCAAUGGACCGAAUGCUCCAAUCUAAAGCUGUAGGGUGGCAGACUGGAUAAAAAAAAAAAAAGCCCAAAAUAUGUUGCCUACAAGAGACUCACCUUAGGGCAAAGGAGACAUAUGAAUUGAAAGUGAGGGGAUGGGAAAAGAUAUUUCAUGCCAAUGGAAAAGACAGGAAAGCAGGAGUUGCAAUACUCAUAUCAGACAAAAUAGACUUUAAAACAAAGGCCAUAAAGAAAGAUAAAGAAGGUAACUACUUCAUGAUAAAAGGGCAUAUACACAAUGGAAUACUACUCAGCCACAAAAAAAACACAAAAUAAUGCCAUUUGCAGCAACAUGGAUGCAACUAGAGAUUCUCAUACUGAGCAAAGUAAGUCAGAAAGAGAAAGACAAACACCAUAUGCUAUCACUUCUAUGUGGAAUCUAAAUAUGGUACAAAAAGGAGUUCCCGUCGUGGCGCAGUGGUUAACGAAUCCGACUAGGAACUAUGAGGUUGCGGGUUCAAUCCCUGGCCUUGCUCCGUGGGUUAAGGAUCCGGCAUUGCUGUGAGCUGUGGUGUAGGUCACAGACGUGGCUCGGAUCCCACGUUGCUGUGGCUCUGGCAAAGGCCAGUGGCUACAGCUCCGAUUUGACCCCUAGCCUGGGAACCUCCGUAUGCCGCAAGAGCAGCCCAAGAAAUGGCUAAAUAAAUAAACAAACAAAUAUGGUACAAAUGAACAUACCUACAGAACAGAAACAGACUCACACACAUGGAGAUCAGACUUGUGGUUGCCAAGGGGACGGGGAGGGGGUGGGAUGGAUGGGGAGUCUGGGGUUAGUAGAUGCAAACUAUUACAUUUAGAAUGAUAAGCAAUGAGGCCCUGCUCCAUAGUGCCAGGAACUGUAUCCAAUCACUUAUGAUAGAACAUGAUGGAAGAUAACAUGAGAAAAAGAAUAUAUAUGUAUAUAUGACUGGGUCACUUUUCUGUACAGCAGAAAUUGGCGGAACAUUGUAAAUCAACUAUACUUUAAUUUUUAAAAUUUUGAAAAGAUAAAAACUGGUGAAGAGCUAAUAAAAAAAAUUUUUUUGAGCUCCCAAAAAAAGUAGAACAUUUAAGAAAUGAAUCAAGAAAGAAAUUGAGAAAUAGCAAACAGGUCAUCACCAAGGGGGCAGCAAUAGCUCUGAGCUCAGUAUCCUGAAGCCAGAGGCUAAAGUUUGAAGCGCACCUUCAUUCUGACGCCUGGACUCGAAGUCCCAUUAAAGAGCUUGCAGCUCUGACAGCGGGCAUGCUAUGCCCCCAGCUGGAGCUCGUGCCCCAAGGGUUUUCAGAGAUGGACACAGGGCUAUUAUACCACUCAGCCCCACCAGCCACCUGGCUCUCCAAUCACCACCCACUCCCAGAGCGCCCAGGGCCUCUCAAGGUAGAGGGUCCUGGCUAGAGACCCCUUACCUGGUAGGUGCCAGCACCAGGAGGUUCUCUCUGCAGCGGGACAAAGAGACCACAGGAAAAGCAGAAAUGUUUACAGAACGGUUUCCCUUUGUUGCAUCACCUUACCCCAGACCAUUUGCUUUCUAAGGAGAGGCUGGAACAGUGUCCCUGUCUGUAACUGAACCACAUGACUUAUGUUUCAGUACCACGCCAUUGUGGCACAUAGCGCAGCAACCCAAAGGAAUAUCCUCGCCCAAAGCCCCAGCCCCCUUGGCUCUGCCUUUUACCCGAAUUGCAUUAUAUCUACAGCACUUAGGUCCAGAGUCCUUCCUUUCUCAGUGACAGCAGCAAGUCUCCCGGGCCCCUCCAAAGGGCCUCUGUAUAACAUGUGUCGCCCUUUGGAGGUGAAUGUUAAAUAUUGCUAUGGAUUCAUAAGCCAGCAGUGCUCCUUUGACUUGAAUGUGCACACAAGUCACCUGGGAAUCUUGUCAAAAUGCUCCAGCAGGUGUGCGGUGGGGCCUGAGAGGGUGCACCUUUAUUAACUAGCUUCCAGGUGACACUGCCUGGGGCAGGCUUCCACACUGGACAGCCAAGAACUAGAGGGCUCGAGAUUCAAAGCCAAGCCUCCCCACCCCACGCCUCUCGGUUCAGCACAGGGCCAAGACCCACAUCUCAGCUUUCCUUUGCUCAUUUGCCUCUGGUUUUUCUUUCAAGUCCCUGGAAUCUUUGCCACUCCAGGGAGAUGCAAGAGUCGCAGAGGGCAGGAUGGUGGUCGGGGCUUCUCAUGGCAGCUCAGAUUCUGACAUGUGAUGAGGAAGGUGGGAUCUUUUCUGGACAUGAGACUGGCUCAGGCGAUCCCAACUCAGAGACAUCACAUCAGUUGAGUAAGAGUAUCCCCAAUGCCUAGUGGAUAAGGUGGAUUACUAUGAAUAAAAUCUUUGUGAACCAGGAACUAUGAUGGGGCGAAACCUCAGUUAUCUUGUUUUGUGACCACUCCUCUGGAACUGGGAGCCAUGAGUCUACUUUGGCUGCCAGAAAACUCAAAGCUAAACUUAGCAAUUUUUAAGAUGAAGGGAGAGAGAAGUCAGGUAAUGUACCAGAGAUCAAGAUUCUGGACCAGACCUUGAACUGACUUCCUCCUCACCCCACCUCAUACACAGAGGAGGGCUACUUUCAAAAAGCCACUCUAGUGCUUUGCUAAGAACCCUCCGCCCCUUGCUGACAUGUGGGCUUUUCAACACACCGAAACCCCAUGCCUCCAUUUAGUUUUUUGUAAAAUGGGAACCACAGAGCUGAUAAAAUUCAAAAAUUAAAUAUUUAAUCUCAUAUAUAUUUGUAAAAUGUUACAUUUAGCUACUUUCUCAGUGUUUACUGGAGGAGUGAAUACCACAGAGAAGUGACAGUUCUGAGCUGUAAUGUGCUGCCUCAUGAGGUCACUGACUGGGUGCCAAGAACUCAGGCUGAAGCAGGACAGACUUGGGUUCCAAUCCAGGGUCUGCAGGUUUAAUAAAACUAUCUGCCCUUUAUCUGACAAAAAAAAAAUUACAAAGCAAAUCAUGUUCCUUAUCUCUGAAGGUCAUUGUAGUACAAAAAGCACUCAGUUAAUGAGAAAUAGGAAUAGUAUUAGUAUUAGUAUUAGUAUUUUACUUCUCACUGGUAGUAGGACACAGAGAAUGAAAGACAGCAGGACCAGGAGAGCUGAGGCAAGACUGUGAGGUCACAGCCAGAGGAGAUUAGAAACACAAAAAACCCAGAGGCCUCAACAAACUAGGAGUCUAAAACCCAACGGGCAGAGAGCCCUCUGUGCAUUCCAAAGGGCAAAUCACCCACUGGUCCAAAUGGAUGUUGGAGGGACACGUGAGCAGAGGGAAGACAUGGUGACCAAUAAUCAGCAGUAGCUCCAAAGACCAAACACACAGAAAGGAGGGAUUCAGGAAGAGGCACUUCCCACAUUGAGUUGGAAAUCCAGACAGGUUUGUGGGCAAGAAACACACUCACUACUGGAAACGAGCAACCGGAGGCUAAGAGCUGACCUUGCUAGAGGCAAGUGUCUGGACUCAAGAGUCCCUCAGUGCUUCCUAUCGGGCAGAGACAGCUCAAAGCCUGAGAUGAGGGCAGGGAAAUAACAGAAGUAACAGCAUCUGGCUGGAUUGCAAAGAGAAUAUUAGGGCAGCGACUGACAGCAGAUUCUGACACAGCGCCAUUAACAUAUUCCUGACCCACAUUCAUUUUGUCAAAAGAUGCUUUUCAAAAUUGAGUCUUUAUGGAGGAGACAUGCACCCAGAUCUGAUUUGUGCGGGCAACAGAGCUGCAUGCAAAAUAAGAGGUUAGAGAGGACCUGUUCUACAGCACUCUGCAUCGAGAAGCAAAGCGUCCUAUUUUGUAUUCAGAUUCUGCUUUCUGAAUAAACUGUCAAGUCCUUCUGCCAGAUUUUUAUGGAUAAUUAGAAGGUUGCAAGAAGCAGAUGUUAUGAAACUAUCUAUGACUAGUCCUUAAUGGUGGAUGACAAGAACCCAGCACCAUUUCUUAAUUACACAAGACAUGGUGAGAAGCAUUUAAAAAAAAAAAAAUAGAGGGAGAACUUGUCAAAGGCUGACAAGGUAUCAAACGAUUAAUCACCCACCUUGAACCUGAGCUCUUCUUUACUAUUUAUUCAAAACACAGAUCCCACCUCCCUUUAGCUGAAUCAUUUUAUAAGGUGUGCAUUCUCCUGUGUUUCAAUAACUAAAAUAUCAUUCCAGGUCUUAAUAACUAAAAUAUGAGCUCCUGCAUAAAAUCGGUGGAUUUUCUGGUUAAAACUUCCCUGACGAGGAAAUUUGCAUUUUAUUAAAUAUAGACACAGUUUGGCUACAUCAGAUCCUAUUCAGUGAGAUAAAAGGAAGACAUAGCGCCUGGAAAACUGGGCUCUUGUCCCAUGAAGGCGAUGGCACAGCUCCCUUUUUCUGAGCUCUUGCUCUGUGGCAGGCGCAGUACAAGCUUUUUGGCCAUGCGUCAUUGCAUGCCAUUCUCACAACAACUCUAAGUGGGCAUUUUCUUAGCCCCAUUUUUUAGAAAAAGAAAGUGGUAAUAACACCAGGAACAAUGAUAUCAACAGAAGCCACAACAGCUGCUAGCACGGGCAGUUGUCUAGCAUUUACCUGUCCUUUCAGUCUGUGCUGCACACAUCACCUCACUGAAUAGGGCUAGCGCCGUAAUGACUUGUGUGUGUGUGUGUGUGUGUGUCUUUUUAGGGUGGCACCUGUUUCAUAUGGAAGUUCCCACCCUAGGGGUAGAAUCGGAGCUGUAGCUGCCGGUCUACAUCACAGUCUCAGCAAUGCCAGCUCUGAGCUGCAUCUGAAACCUACACCACAGCUCACGGCAACACCGGAUCCUUAACCCACUGAGUGAGGAUACAGAGAUCGAACCUGUAUCCUCAUGGAUACUAGUUGGAUUUGUUUCCUCGGAGCCACGGAAUUAUAAAGUCAAAAUUUCUCACCUCAGUCUUCCUGACUCUUAAUAGAGGAUAUUGAAUCCCUGGGCUAUGCUGCCAUCCACUCGGCUGGGUGACUGUUGUGGGUUGAAUUGUGCUCCCCCAAAUUCACACUGUGGAGUCCUAACCCCAGUACCUCGGCGUGGGACUGUAUCUAGAGACAGAGCCUUUACAGAGGUAACUCCCGUAACAGGAGGUCGUGUGGAUGGAUGUGUAUUCUCCCAACACAAUAUGAUUAGAGAAGAGAGGACCAGGACGGGCACGGGCGCAGAAGAGAAGGCACGUGAAGACUCAGGGAGAAGACGGCCUUGAGGAAACCAAGCCUGCCAAUGCCUCGGUCUUGGACUUCUAGCCUCCAGAACUGUGAGGAAUAAAUUUCUAUUGUUUAAACCACUCUGUCGGUAGUACUGAUUCUGUCAGUGCUAGCAAACGAAUACAAUGUCCUCAUUAAAAUACCUAACCUGGGAGUUCCCAUCAUGGCGCAGCGGAAAUGAGUCCGACUAGGAACCAUGGGGUUGCAGGUUCGAUCCCUGGCCUCACUCAGUAGGUUAAGGCUUGGCCUUUCCGUGAGCUGUGGUGUGGGUCACAGACACAGCUUGGAUCUGAUGUUGCUGUGGCUGUGGUGUGGUCAGCAGCUGUAGCUCUGAUUGGACCCCUAGCCUGGGAACCUCCAUAUGCCCCAAGUGUGGCCCUAAAAAGUAAAAAAAAAGAAAAUCGUUUGAUCCCGGGCACAGCUCAGUGGGUUAAAGGAUCCAGAGCUGCCUCAGCUGCCUAGGUCAGAACCUGUGACUGGAUUUAACCCCUGGCCUGGGAGUUUCCCUAUGUCACAGGUACAGCUAUAAAAUGUUGUUGUACAACUAUAAAUGUAAUAAAAUUCAUUGAUUAAUAAAAAAAAAUUGAAAAAAUAAUAAUGGAUACUCUGAAGGGGCAGGAUAGAGCUCAUUAGACUUUCCAUGGAGUCUUUUGUUCCCGAAUCACAAAUGAGGCCCCAAAACGCAAAUUCUCCAGAAAAAGGCUGCCUAUUGACCUCAAGUCACAACGAGCUGUAAGUGGUUAAAUCAGUCCUUUUCCUCGAGCUGGGCUUAUGAAGAGCCUGAAAGGGCAGAGGGAACAGGAAGGAACUCAGAGAAGAGACACAGAACAACUGAGGACAAGGACUGCUGCUCUCGGUUCCCCCGGGGCUGCGCCUGG